UUCACCUUCCUGUAGCAAGGCUAACUCUCACUUAUCCCCUGUGGCUGGACCUGCUUGCCUCUGAACCGCCUGCCUUGUUGUAAUCUUGGAAAUCGCCUCUUCCCCAGCUCCUCUCAUGUUCAUGCAACAAGGCUGUUGAGUGAGUUUACUUGUUUACUUUCCUGAGGAUUUAUGUGCUUUCUGGAACUCCUACUGUGUCCUAAACCGUGCACGUGCUGUGGAUACUGCCCUGCUUGCUUCCAAAACAUCUGCCUGGACUCAACUUACCCUUCAACUGCUCCUUACUUCAUUCACUGAUGUCACCUGGAUUUGAACCUGCUGCUUCCUCAACCACAGCGAUUGUUAGGUCUCUCAUGGACCAAGCCUGUUUCAAAGACUAUGGGAUUUACAAUCAGAGUCCAGUGCUGCUGAUAGUCCAGCUGGCGGGCUCAGCUCCGGCCUGAUUCAGUUGAUUUCAAGAUUGUUGGUGGUGCCAUAAGAUGAUCUCCUGGCGACUGAGUGCCAUGUCCUGGCAUGGAGAACUGGUGGACAGACUCUCUCCUAAAGCCAGUUUUAUCCACUGAAAGGCUUUGAGCUGAGCAGGAAGUGUAAAGAGGAGUGGACUGACACUCUAGGAGAAGGGGUUGCAGUAAGGUCAGACUCUUCACGUUACCUACUUUCCUCUCUCCAUCUGUCUGACUAGGGCUAUCUUCUCUGCACACGUUCAUAUAAUUUCACGGCAGAAACAAUGUUCAAAAUGUCACCAGUUGAGGUUGAAACUUGUGUUUUCUGAGAGAGCUGGGUCAUCUUAUAUCCGGCGUGUAUUAGGGUCACAUGACAAGCCAUGGUUUGGAGAGCGAGCGAGGGAUGAGAGGAAGAGUUAAACAUGGAUAAAGGAGUUUAAAAGGAUAAAGGGUGUGAGAGGAUGAGGAUUAGUUGUUGUUUUCUCCACGGAUGGUUUGGUUUGUUCAGAGUCUGUCCGUGUGUUUGCGCAUGUUUUUGUGUAUUUGAGGGGCUGUAGAUGAUUCCUGAAGGUCACAAAAUGAUUCACCCAUUGGGGGAAAUAUAUUUAAAGAACAGCAUACAUUCCACCGCAGUUUAUUCACAUUUUUUUCUACACUUGGCAUAACUCAACAGUGGUCACACUGACCAGACGUGGGCUACUUCUUCUGUGUUUGUUCAGAUGCUGCUGCUGCUGCCUCUGAUGUUGUUAGCUUAGUUGUUGGCUAUCUCUGCUGUCACACAGUAACACACACUCUGCUGUCCUCUUGGCAGCCUCAAGACUUUCUUUUUUGUGGUUUUUAAAUCACAGCGACUUCUCAGAAGCGUGCAGUCACUAAUGGAGCCAAAAGUAAACUUCAUUUUUCACCAUUAACAUCUGUCAUUUUAUGAUUACAAAAAUAAAGGCCGAAUUAGACCACAA
Long non-coding RNA from Notolabrus celidotus (New Zealand spotty), 1402 nucleotides. RefSeq lists it as uncharacterized. NCBI's taxonomy places the organism in Eukaryota, Metazoa, Chordata, Actinopteri, Labriformes, Labridae. The record is from RefSeq and is a predicted model, not a curated record. The transcript is spliced from 2 exons.